GAUGAACGCUGGCGGCGUGCCUAAUACAUGCAAGUCGAGCGAACGGACGAGAAGCUUGCUUUUCUGAUGUUAGCGGCGGACGGGUGAGUAACACGUGGAUAACCUACCUAUAAGACUGGGAUAACUUCGGGAAACCGGAGCUAAUACCGGAUAAUAUUUUGAACCGCAUGGUUCAAAAGUGAAAGACGGUCUUGCUGUCACUUAUAGAUGGAUCCGCGCUGCAUUAGCUAGUUGGUAAGGUAACGGCUUACCAAGGCAACGAUGCAUAGCCGACCUGAGAGGGUGAUCGGCCACACUGGAACUGAGACACGGUCCAGACUCCUACGGGAGGCAGCAGUAGGGAAUCUUCCGCAAUGGGCGAAAGCCUGACGGAGCAACGCCGCGUGAGUGAUGAAGGUCUUCGGAUCGUAAAACUCUGUUAUUAGGGUAGAACAUAUGUGUAAGUAACUGUGCACAUCUUGACGGUACCUAAUCAGAAAGCCACGGCUAACUACGUG
This 497-nucleotide ribosomal RNA is filed under the name uncultured bacterium. RNAcentral describes it as "partial 16S ribosomal RNA". It matches the Rfam family "Bacterial small subunit ribosomal RNA", at positions 28 to 507 of the family's 1533-position model. The record is from RNAcentral.